GUCGUUAGAGUUUGAUCAUGGCUCAGAUUGAACGCUGGCGGCAGGCCUAACACAUGCAAGCGGACGGUAGCACAGAGGAGCUUGCUCCUCGGGUGACGAGUGGCGGACGGGUGAGUAAUGUCUGGGGAUCUGCCCGAUAGAGGGGGAUAACCACUGGAAACGGUGGCUAAUACCGCAUAACGUGCAAGACCAAAGAGGGGGACCUUCGGGCCUCUCACUAUCAGAUGAACCCAGAUGGGAUUAGCUAGUAGGCGGGGUAACGGCCCACCUAGGCGACGAUCCCUAGCUGGUCUGAGAGGAUGACCAGCCACACUGGAACUGAGACACGGUCCAGACUCCUACGGGAGGCAGCAGUGGGGAAUAUUGCACAAUGGGCGCAAGCCUGAUGCAGCCAUGCCGCGUGUAUGAAGAAGGCCUUCGGUUGUAAAGUACUUUCAGCGGGGAGGAAGGCAGUGAGGUUAAUAACCUUACUGAUUGACGUACCCGCAGAAGAAGCACCGGCUAACUCCGUGCCAGCAGCCGCGGUAAUACGGAGGGUGCAAGCGUUAAUCGGAAUUACUGGGCGUAAAGCGCACGCAGGCGGUCUGUUAAGUCAGAUGUGAAAUCCCCGGGCUUAACCUGGGAACUGCAUUUGAAACUGGCAGGCUUGAGUCUCGUAGAGGGGGGUAGAAUUCCAGGUGUAGCGGUGAAAUGCGUAGAGAUCUGGAGGAAUACCGGUGGCGAAGGCGGCCCCCUGGACGAAGACUGACGCUCAGGUGCGAAAGCGUGGGGGAGCAAACAGGAUUAGAUACCCUGGUAGUCCACGCCGUAAACGAU
This 816-nucleotide ribosomal RNA is filed under the name uncultured Pantoea sp. RNAcentral's name for it is "bacterial SSU rRNA". It matches the Rfam family "Bacterial small subunit ribosomal RNA", at positions 1 to 810 of the family's 1533-position model. Lineage: Bacteria; Pseudomonadati; Pseudomonadota; Gammaproteobacteria; Enterobacterales; Erwiniaceae. The record is from RNAcentral.